UACAGAGGUGGCAAACGUUGUCCGGAUUUAUUGGGUGUAAAGGGCAUGUAGGCGGUCUUGUAAGUCAAAGGUGAAAUGGCCCGGCUUAACCAGGUCAUUGCCUUUGAAACUGCAGGGCUUGAGUACGGAAGAGGAAAGCGGAAUUCCCAGUGUAGCGGUGAAAUGCGUAGAUAUUGGGAGGAACACCGGUGGCGAAGGCGGCUUUCUGGUCCGAAACUGACGCUGAGAUGCGAAAGCCAGGGGAGCAAACGGG
RNAcentral lists this ribosomal RNA (253 nucleotides) under uncultured bacterium. RNAcentral describes it as "partial 16S ribosomal RNA". It matches the Rfam family "Bacterial small subunit ribosomal RNA", at positions 524 to 776 of the family's 1533-position model. The record is from RNAcentral.